AACGAACGCUGGCGGCAGGCCUAACACAUGCAAGUCGAACGCUCGUAGCAAUACGGGAGUGGCAGACGGGUGAGUAACGCGUGGGAAUCUACCCAAUGGUACGGAAUAACUCAGGGAAACUUGAGCUAAUACCGUAUGUGCCCGAAAGGGGAAAGAUUUAUCGCCAUUGGAUGAGCCCGCGUCGGAUUAGCUAGUUGGUGGGGUAACGGCCCACCAAGGCGACGAUCCGUAGCUGGUCUGAGAGGAUGAUCAGCCACACUGGGACUGAGACACGGCCCAGACUCCUACGGGAGGCAGCAGUGGGGAAUAUUGGACAAUGGGCGCAAGCCUGAUCCAGCCAUGCCGCGUGAGUGAUGAAGGCCCUAGGGUUGUAAAGCUCUUUCGGCGGGGACGAUAAUGACGGUACCCGCAGAAGAAGCCCCGGCUAACUUCGUGCCAGCAGCCGCAGUAA
RNAcentral lists this ribosomal RNA (451 nucleotides) under uncultured bacterium. RNAcentral describes it as "partial 16S ribosomal RNA". It matches the Rfam family "Bacterial small subunit ribosomal RNA", at positions 29 to 523 of the family's 1533-position model. The record is from RNAcentral.